UUGUUCAAAAAUAUUUUUGUAUGGCAGCAAUGAUUCCAGGUACGCCCCUAACAUGAAAGGUGUUAAAUGUUCUUACAGAAUGGGAGGUAUAAGGGGAAGUGUUUGCUCACUUUUGUCUUGCAGGGAGGCGUAGGAAUGUAUGGUUUAUUUUUAUGUACGGAGUGUUGUUUGCCUAUAAAUUGUUGUGCAUGUAUUCUCUGCAUUGCACUACACCUUGGCACACACAACCUGCCGCCGGACCUGGGCCGCAUAGGAUCACUUAGGAUGGUGUUGAGGUGGAUACCACUCCGACUACAA
Molecule: long non-coding RNA, 297 nt
Filed under: Eucalyptus grandis
Lineage: Eukaryota; Viridiplantae; Streptophyta; Magnoliopsida; Myrtales; Myrtaceae
Description: long non-coding RNA (EGRA_LNC007909)
Source: RNAcentral